GUCUAUGGCCAUGCCACCCUGAACACGCCCAAUCUCGUCUGAUCUCAGAAGCUAAGUGGGGCUGGGCCUGGUUAGUACUUGGAUUGGAGACCACCUAGGAAGACCAGGUGCAGUAGGCG
RNAcentral lists this ribosomal RNA (119 nucleotides) under Pteropus alecto (black flying fox). The record is from RNAcentral. Lineage: Eukaryota; Metazoa; Chordata; Mammalia; Chiroptera; Pteropodidae.